GUAGGUGGCAAGCGUUGUCCGGAAUUAUUGGGCGUAAAGCGCGCGCAGGCGGUUCUUUAAGUCUGAUGUGAAAGCCCACGGCUCAACCGUGGAGGGUCAUUGGAAACUGGAGAACUUGAGUACAGAAGAGGAAAGCGGAAUUCCACGUGUAGCGGUGAAAUGCGUAGAGAUGUGGAGGAACACCAGUGACGAAGGCGGCUUUCUGGUCUGUAACUGACGCUGAGGCGCGAAAGCGUGGGGAGCAAACAGGAUUAGAUACCCUGGUAGUCCACGCCGUAAACGAUGAGUGCUAAGUGUUAGGGGGGUUUCCGCCCCCCUUAGUGCUGCAGCUAACGCAUUAAGCACUCCGCCUGGGAGUACGGCCGCAAGGCUG
This 373-nucleotide ribosomal RNA is filed under the name uncultured organism. RNAcentral describes it as "partial 16S ribosomal RNA". It matches the Rfam family "Bacterial small subunit ribosomal RNA", at positions 527 to 896 of the family's 1533-position model. The record is from RNAcentral.